AGAUAAAUACCCAGUAACUGCUGAUUUGGCAGGAGGAUUGUUAAUUCCUGUUUGGAGUUCAGUAAGGAGCAAACAGCACGGGAGUAUGGGUGGUCCGUAUAGGCCCUGGAGCUGGUCGUAGGAGUGCUGGAGGAAGUGCUGAAGUCUGGAAAAGGGUAGCGGCUGGGGCUGUUCGAAGACUGAAGGGGGAAUUCACAGCCACAGCAGCAGCUGCUGCUGCAGCUGCUAGCGGAUUUGCUUUUGAAACUAGCAAGAACUCCACUUCACAAAGUUUGCCCUGUCAGUUGGAAAUGUGACCAGAGCCAUCCUGAAACUGAGCAGAAUGAAAUGAGAGAUGAUUUUUUUUAUUGUUAUUGUUUCA
Cygnus atratus (black swan) is the source of this 361-nucleotide long non-coding RNA. RefSeq lists it as uncharacterized. The transcript has 3 exons. The record is from RefSeq and is a predicted model, not a curated record. Lineage: Eukaryota; Metazoa; Chordata; Aves; Anseriformes; Anatidae.